This 494-nucleotide long non-coding RNA is filed under the name Bos taurus (domestic cattle). RNAcentral's name for it is "long non-coding RNA NONBTAT025826". Lineage: Eukaryota; Metazoa; Chordata; Mammalia; Artiodactyla; Bovidae. The record is from RNAcentral.
UAUCAUUAACUCUGUCAUUAACAAACCAAAGUUUGGUUUGAAUAUUUGAGCUACUAGUGAAUCCUGGCUCAUACCAUUUGAAUUAAGUAGUCAUGAUGUAAUGGAGGCAAAGUGAAGGUCACUCCAAAUAGUUCCCCAUGGCUAAACAUAUUUGCUUUGUGUAGCAACAAAGUUGAAUCAUAUUUAAUUCUCAAAGGGGGGAGGUAUUCCUUGAUUGCAAAAUAGUAGGUGGAGCUGGCCACUCGACAUGACUAACUUAAGGUGUGCUGUUUUACUGGUUAGACUUUUGUUGCUGCUCUAGAAGUGGGAAAGGUGUAAAUAAAUUGUGUCAGGUCUCUGUACUUGAAAGCUCCAGCAAGCAUAACAGGCGGGAAUUACCCAAAUGUUUUCUGUAAAUGUAGCCAAGCAUUUUAAGCUAAACUCUUCAAAUUGAGAACCAUAGUGACUCAUGGAUACAGGCCUUAUAAAUCCUUAUUAAAUCAAAUGAAUGCAGC